This 494-nucleotide ribosomal RNA is filed under the name uncultured bacterium. RNAcentral's name for it is "bacterial SSU rRNA". It matches the Rfam family "Bacterial small subunit ribosomal RNA", at positions 28 to 507 of the family's 1533-position model. The record is from RNAcentral.
GAUGAACGCUAGCUACAGGCUUAACACAUGCAAGUCGAGGGGAAACGACAUCGAAAGCUUGCUUUUGAUGGGCGUCGACCGGCGCACGGGUGAGUAACGCGUAUCCAACCUGCCCACCACUUGGGGAUAACCUUGCGAAAGUAAGACUAAUACCCAAUGAUAUCCCACGAAGGCAUCCGAAUGGGAUUAAAGAUUUAUCGGUGAUGGAUGGGGAUGCGUCUGAUUAGCUUGUUGGCGGGGUAACGGCCCACCAAGGCGACGAUCAGUAGGGGUUCUGAGAGGAAGGUCCCCCCACAUUGGAACUGAGACACGGUCCAAACUCCUACGGGAGGCAGCAGUGAGGAAUAUUGGUCAAUGGGCGAGAGCCUGAACCAGCCAAGUAGCGUGCAGGAAGACGGGCCCCUAUGGGUUGUAAACUGCUUUUAUAGGGGAAUAAGUGAGCCACGUGUGGUUUUUUGCAUGUACCCUAUGAAUAAGGACCGGCUAAUUCCGUG